GCUGUCGUCAGCUCGUGUCGUGAGAUGUUGGGUUAAGUCCCGUAACGAGCGCAACCCUUGUCCUUAGUUACCAGCACAUUAUGGUGGGCACUCUAAGGAGACUGCCGGUGACAAACCGGAGGAAGGUGGGGAUGACGUCAAGUCAUCAUGGCCCUUACGGCCUGGGCUACACACGUGCUACAAUGGUCGGUACAGAGGGUUGCCAAGCCGCGAGGUGGAGCUAAUCUCACAAAACCGAUCGUAGUCCGGAUCGCAGUCUGCAACUCGACUGCGUGAAGUCGGAAUCGCUAGUAAUCGCGAAUCAGAAUGUCGCGGUGAAUACGUUCCCGGGCCUUGUACACACCGCCCGU
This 350-nucleotide ribosomal RNA is filed under the name uncultured Pseudomonas sp. RNAcentral describes it as "bacterial SSU rRNA". It matches the Rfam family "Bacterial small subunit ribosomal RNA", at positions 1048 to 1397 of the family's 1533-position model. Lineage: Bacteria; Pseudomonadati; Pseudomonadota; Gammaproteobacteria; Pseudomonadales; Pseudomonadaceae. The record is from RNAcentral.